RNAcentral lists this ribosomal RNA (468 nucleotides) under uncultured bacterium. RNAcentral describes it as "partial 16S ribosomal RNA". It matches the Rfam family "Bacterial small subunit ribosomal RNA", at positions 28 to 507 of the family's 1533-position model. The record is from RNAcentral.
GACGAACGCUGGCGGCGUGCUUAACACAUGCAAGUCGAACGGAAAGGCCCUGCUUUUGUGGGGUGCUCGAGUGGCGAACGGGUGAGUAACACGUGAGUAACCUGCCCUUGACUUUGGGAUAACUUCAGGAAACUGGGGCUAAUACCGGAUAGGAGCUCCUGCUGCAUGGUGGGGGUUGGAAAGUUUCGGCGGUUGGGGAUGGACUCGCGGCUUAUCAGCUUGUUGGUGGGGUAGUGGCUUACCAAGGCUUUGACGGGUAGCCGGCCUGAGAGGGUGACCCGCCACAUUGGGACUGAGAUACGGCCCAGACUCCUACGGGAGGCAGCAGUGGGGAAUAUUGCACAAUGGGCGGAAGCCUGAUGCAGCAACGCCGCGUGCGGGAUGACGGCCUUCGGGUUGGAAACCGCUUUCGCCUGUGACGAAGCGUGAGUGACGGUAAUGGGUAAAGAAGCACCGGCUAACUACGUG